UAAAAAGUCUUUUUCUGAGAAUGUGUACUGAGACUUGCAGCACUAAUAUAUUGUGAGGUUUUUUUCCAUGUCUGUUUAUUGCAAGGAUUUCUUCUUCUUUUUUUUUACGAUUGCGAUUUACGAUAGCUUCAUCUGAAAUGUGAAAGGAUGAGCAGUGCUAGUAGCAUGCAGCAGAAUGUUGUACUAAGACUGCGUUGGAUGUGACAGCAAGUGCAUUACUGUAUAUAUUUGGCUGGAGCUGCCAAAUGAAGUACAAGCCCCGUGUUUGCCUACGUGAUAAAGCAGGUAAACGAAGCCAACCUUCCGUCUGGAUUGGUUUAGAAGACUCUGCCCAUGCUAUGAAGCCGAAGCUGGACUUUUUGUAGAAGUCUAGAACGAAUGGCAGAGGCUACGGCUGAUUGAACACAGCGCGGGCUUGGCAACUCUUAAAGACUAAAUGCAAAAACAGGGUGAAAGCAGAGGACAUUUCAUUCCGUCGACUUUGAUUGUGACGACAAAUGAAGGAGAUUUUUUUUUCCGUGACCUGGCGGGUGGAGAGGCACUGCGACGCUCAUCACGGAUCCAUACUUCGUUGCAUGGUGUUCUGCAAAAUAUAGCGUAUCGGUUUCAACGGCAAAACAAUAGUCUCGUGUAUUUCAAAAAAAGACGUUUUCGUAACUGUGCCUCUUCACCUCGGGUGAAGCCAAAGCAGACUGCAGACGUGUUUCUUCCGUUUCUUGUUUUUUGCGUUGCUUUUUAUCCUCUGUUUUUAUGUUCUGGAGUUUGUCCAUUGCACAGAACUCAAGUGUUGUCUGAACUCUUUGUUACUACUACUCUUGUUUUGGUGGAAUGCUAUUCUUCGUGGCAUGAGAGCUUUACGAUUUUCUCAAGCGGCUUUCCAUUCUGUCACCGGCUCUUUUCUAGUCUGCGAUCUAGUGUGCACCGCACUGCGCA
This is a long non-coding RNA of Puntigrus tetrazona (Sumatra barb), 933 nucleotides long. RefSeq lists it as uncharacterized. The record is from RefSeq and is a predicted model, not a curated record. The transcript has 3 exons. Lineage: Eukaryota; Metazoa; Chordata; Actinopteri; Cypriniformes; Cyprinidae.